This 618-nucleotide ribosomal RNA is filed under the name Ralstonia solanacearum. Its description in RNAcentral is "bacterial SSU rRNA". It matches the Rfam family "Bacterial small subunit ribosomal RNA", at positions 136 to 748 of the family's 1533-position model. Lineage: Bacteria; Pseudomonadati; Pseudomonadota; Betaproteobacteria; Burkholderiales; Burkholderiaceae. The record is from RNAcentral.
GUGGGGGAUAACUAGUCGAAAGACUAGCUAAUACCGCAUACGACCUGAGGGUGAAAGUGGGGGACCGCAAGGCCUCAUGCUAUAGGAGCGGCCGAUGUCUGAUUAGCUAGUUGGUGGGGUAAAGGCCCACCAAGGCGACGAUCAGUAGCUGGUCUGAGAGGACGAUCAGCCACACUGGGACUGAGACACGGCCCAGACUCCUACGGGAGGCAGCAGUGGGGAAUUUUGGACAAUGGGGGCAACCCUGAUCCAGCAAUGCCGCGUGUGUGAAGAAGGCCUUCGGGUUGUAAAGCACUUUUGUCCGGAAAGAAAUCGCACUGGUUAAUACCUGGUGUGGAUGACGGUACCGGAAGAAUAAGGACCGGCUAACUACGUGCCAGCAGCCGCGGUAAUACGUAGGGUCCAAGCGUUAAUCGGAAUUACUGGGCGUAAAGCGUGCGCAGGCGGUUGUGCAAGACCGAUGUGAAAUCCCCGGGCUUAACCUGGGAAUUGCAUUGGUGACUGCACGGCUAGAGUGUGUCAGAGGGAGGUAGAAUUCCACGUGUAGCAGUGAAAUGCGUAGAGAUGUGGAGGAAUACCGAUGGCGAAGGCAGCCUCCUGGGAUAAACACUGACGCUC